This 762-nucleotide long non-coding RNA is filed under the name Setaria viridis. RNAcentral's name for it is "long non-coding RNA (SVIR_LNC000388)". Lineage: Eukaryota; Viridiplantae; Streptophyta; Magnoliopsida; Poales; Poaceae. The record is from RNAcentral.
GGUGUCACCGAAAUCAAGGAGUCGAUGAUGACGCAGCAACACGAUUUAGACUGGUUCGGGCCGCUAGAUUGCGUAAUACCCUACGUCCUGUGUGUUGUAUGCUUGUAUUCGAUUGAACUUGUUUUUGAGGGGUCCUUGCCCGCCCUUAUAUAUUGGGGGAGUAAAGUUACAGGGUAGUCUUUUGUACAAGAGUACUAGUCGUAUGCGACUAGAGAUUCCUACUCUAACUCGGCAGAGUAGUCCUACUGCCUUCCGACUAGUUCUUCAGGAGUCCAUGCAGUCUACGUUCCCUGUGUAGUAGUCUUCAUGUCCUGAUACGUGACUGAGUAUGUCCUUUGUGUGAGUCUGUACAAGGCUCCUCGUGGGAAAUUGUUGAGAAAUUGUUGGGCAAAUUCUUCAAGAAUUUCCAAGGGGUGCCCGAAGUCGAUGAAUCCAUCUAGGAGUUUGACAAGUGGCAUAAGCCCAGAGAGGUAACUUGCUUUCUUUUUGAGUACCCAUAAUUAUUAGUCGUUAUGUUUUCCAACUAGUAAUUCCUUAUGUAGGAAGAUGUCUUUUUAUACUUUUCUCCUCCUCCCCAUGAUGCUAAUGGCGCAAAAAACGUGAACCUGUGCACUACGUGUGCUUGGCUGAUGAUCCCUUAGAGGAUGAUGAUGAUGAUGGGGACUCUGAGUCGCUUGGCAACUCAGACAUUACAUCAUCUAACUCCGAGUUAUCUGAUCAUGUUUCUAUGCAGUCUCGAGUUCUCAAAGGGUAUAAAUUUGC